AGAUUGAACGCUGGCGGCAUGCCUUACACAUGCAAGUCGAACGGUAACAGGUUAAGCUGACGAGUGGCGAACGGGUGAGUAAUAUAUCGGAACGUGCCCAGUAGUGGGGGAUAGCCCGGCGAAAGCCGGAUUAAUACCGCAUACGACCUACGGGUGAAAGGGGGGGAUCGCAAGACCUCUCGCUAUUGGAGCGGCCGAUAUCAGAUUAGCUAGUUGGUGGGGUAAAAGCUCACCAAGGCGACGAUCUGUAGCUGGUCUGAGAGGACGACCAGCCACACUGGGACUGAGACACGGCCCAGACUCCUACGGGAGGCAGCAGUGGGGAAUUUUGGACAAUGGGGGAAACCCUGACGCAGCAACGCCGCGUGGAGGAUGAAGUCCCUUGGGACGUAAACUCCUUUCGACCGGGACGAUAAUGACGGUACCGGUGGAAGAAGCCCCGGCUAACUUCGUGCCAGCAGCCGAC
This 466-nucleotide ribosomal RNA is filed under the name uncultured bacterium. RNAcentral's name for it is "SSU rRNA". It matches the Rfam family "Bacterial small subunit ribosomal RNA", at positions 26 to 518 of the family's 1533-position model. The record is from RNAcentral.